Molecule: ribosomal RNA, 496 nt
Filed under: uncultured bacterium
Lineage: Bacteria
Description: partial 16S ribosomal RNA
Rfam family: Bacterial small subunit ribosomal RNA
Source: RNAcentral
GAUGAACGCUGGCGGCGUGCCUAAUACAUGCAAGUCGAGCGAACAGAUGAGGAGCUUGCUCCUCUGACGUUAGCGGCGGACGGGUGAGUAACACGUGGAUAACCUACCUAUAAGACUGGGAUAACUUCGGGAAACCGGAGCUAAUACCGACAAUAUAUUGAACCGCAUGGUUCAAUAGUGAAAGACGGUUUUGCUGUCACUUAUAGAUGGAUCCGCGCCGCAUUAGCUAGUUGGUAAGGUAACGGCUUACCAAGGCAACGAUGCGUAGCCGACCUGAGAGGGUGAUCGGCCACACUGGAACUGAGACACGGUCCAGACUCCUACGGGAGGCAGCAGUAGGGAAUCUUCCGCAAUGGGCGAAAGCCUGACGGAGCAACGCCGCGUGAGUGAUGAAGGUCUUCGGAUCGUAAAACUCUGUUAUUAGGGAAGAACAAAUGUGUAAGUAACUAUGCACGUCUUGACGGUACCUAAUCAGAAAGCCACGGCUAACUACGUG